CCGGGGGCGGGGAGAGGGGCGGGGCUUUCCGCCGAAAGGGGGCGGGGCGCGCGGAGGAGGCGGGGCGAGCGCAGGGGAGGCUGGCGAGCAGAGAGUGCCCUUGUGUCGCCAGCCGGCGAGCGGCUGGGAGCGAGCAGCCGCCCCGCGCCGCCAGCGGGACGGGACGGGACAGCACGGCACGGGACAGCACGGCGCGGGGCGGGACAGGCCGGGCCGCAGGGACAGCCGGACCGACCCGCCGGUAGGGGCGAGGGGAGCCAGCGGGGGCAGCCGGCACCGCUCGGUGGAGGGAAGCAGCCCGGCGGCGGCAGAGCCGGCGGGGAGAGCUGCUCCCCCCACUUCCCUCCCCAAUCCACCCCCGCGACCCCGGCCCUCCUCCUCCUCCUCCUCCUCACCCCACUGGAUACAGCGAGGGAGACACUGCGGCGGCGGAGGCGGCGGCGGCGGCUCCUGCGGGGGGAAGGAAGCGCCCGGAGAGCGGAGCGGCGGGAGGCUGCGGAUCUGCGUGCCUGGCGCCCACCCAGCCCGAGGGGAGCCCCCAGGAUGCGGCUCAAGCCCGGCGCGCUCCUGCGCUUCUACAGCCUCUGCGGGAUCCUCAUGCAAGUGUCCAAAGUGCUCUCAUUACCUGGAUUACAGAGUCAUAAAAUCACUACUCAGACCUGUUCAUUUUCCUUGGAAGCUGAAAAGAGAAAUGGGUCUGUGCUAUGUGUGCUAUGUUUUGUCAUCACCCAUAAAUCCGCAGGAGGAUAGAGUCAUAAAUUUCAUUUCACAGGUAGAUGGUGGAGUUUAUUUUUAUUUAAAGUAUUUUUAUAUAGCUUCAUGCCUAGAUGUCUCAUGCAUUUGCAUGACCUGA
This 853-nucleotide long non-coding RNA is filed under the name Anser cygnoides (Swan goose). RNAcentral's name for it is "lncRNA (ENSACDG00005007371.1)". Lineage: Eukaryota; Metazoa; Chordata; Aves; Anseriformes; Anatidae. The record is from RNAcentral.